GACGAACGCUGGCGGCGUGCCUAAUACAUGCAAGUAGAACGCAGUUGCGAACGGGUGAGUAACGCGUAGGUAACUGCCUCAUAGCGGGGGAUAACUAUUGGAAACGAUAGCUACUACCGCAUACUUUGCGCUGGACCUGCGUUGUAUUAGUUAGUUGGUGAGGUAAAGGCUCACCAAGGCGACGAUACAUAGCCGACCUGAGAGGGGGAUCGGCCACACUGGGAAUGAGACACGGCCCAGACGCCUACGGGAGGCAGCAGGAGGGAAUCUUCGGAAAUGGACGGAAGUCGGACCGAGCAACGCCGCGGGAGUGAAGAAGGUGUUCGGAUCGUAAAGCUCUGUUGGUAGAGAAGCGGUAACUAAACAGAAAGGGACGGCUAACUACGUGCCAGCAGCCGCGGUAAUUC
Molecule: ribosomal RNA, 407 nt
Filed under: uncultured bacterium
Lineage: Bacteria
Description: partial 16S ribosomal RNA
Rfam family: Bacterial small subunit ribosomal RNA
Source: RNAcentral